UGGGGAAUCUUGCGCAAUGGGCGAAAGCCUGACGCAGCGACGCCGCGUGGGUGAUGAAGGCCUUCGGGUUGUAAAGCCCUGUGGGGAGGGACGAAUAAGUUCGACCUAAUACGUCGAGCGAUGACGGUACCUCUUUAGCAAGCCCCGGCUAACUCUGUGCCAGCAGCCGCGGUAAGACAGAGGGUGCAAACGUUGUUCGGAAUUACUGGGCGUAAAGCGCGUGUAGGCGGUCUCGCAAGUCGGGUGUGAAAGCCCAGGGCUCAACCCUGGAAGUGCAUUCGAUACUGCGAGGCUAGAGUCCCGGAGAGGAUGGUGGAACUCUCGGUGUAGAGGUGAAAUUCGUAGAUAUCGAGAAGAACACCGGUGGCGAAGGCGGCCAUCUGGACGGUGACUGACGCUGAGACGCGAAAGCGUGGGGAGCAAAC
RNAcentral lists this ribosomal RNA (425 nucleotides) under uncultured bacterium. RNAcentral describes it as "bacterial SSU rRNA". It matches the Rfam family "Bacterial small subunit ribosomal RNA", at positions 355 to 773 of the family's 1533-position model. The record is from RNAcentral.